Molecule: long non-coding RNA, 1404 nt
Organism: Xiphophorus hellerii (green swordtail)
Lineage: Eukaryota; Metazoa; Chordata; Actinopteri; Cyprinodontiformes; Poeciliidae
Exons: 3
Source: RefSeq, a predicted model, not a curated record
CUCUUCUCCACCUCAUCCACAGGAGUCCAGGACAUGUCAGGCUGAAGCUUGAAUGCGCCAAGAAACGGAUGAGGGCAGCUUGGUCCCCACUCCUUCAAAGGAAAUUGGAAAACAGGAAACGCAUUGGGGUGUCGCGUCUGUAACUUAGCAACAACUGAACCGAUGACUUCACAUCCUUUGUCGGCAACAGCUGGGGGUGAAAUGUAAGCGGCUGCUAAAACAACAAUGAACUCUCCUGUGGCCCCCCGUCAGCAGCCGCGGGCUCGGAACCCUGAUAACUUCAUAAUAUCUGGGUUCCGAGUGGACAUGUGGAGUCAGAACAGCUGGGAGUCAAUGGUGAUCCAGGCUUGUGUAACCACUCUGUCACCGCCUUCCGAAGACACGCUCAUGUAAUGUAUACCUACUGACAGUUUGGCUACACGAAAAAUAACAUCAGCAAUUACCAAACACCAAAUAUUAUACAGUAAGAAUACGACGACGCGGACUGAUAUCUCUUUUUUUUUCUCUUCUUUUUUUUUUUUUAAGAUUCGGCGCAGAAUAAAUGUUUUCGUCAUGUUUCGCACUAGGUGAGUAAAAGUGUUACCUGUGGUGACCUUUUCUGGUUGGCUGGGCAGACUGACGGCCUUGUCCAUUUUCUCUUCCCUCGUUUAGAACCGAGCUUUUCUCAACCUGCCUCCCUUCCUCCGGCCAAACGCCGGUGGUUCCCGGCUGCUGCCUCCGACCGCCUCGCGGAGAACUAAGGGUUUAGCUUCUGUCAUUAGCAGCAGCAACAUAGAUAUAGAUACAUAGAUGUUGCCUCGACGGCUGCCGGUUUUUUUAAAUGUAAACACGGGAACUAGUCUUGUCCAACUCCAAUCACUCCGUUUUCAACCUGCUUGAUUUGUUACAACUUCAGGCGCGUUUCAUGUAAAAUUCUAAUAAGAACUGAAAGAAUAAGAAACAAAUGUAGCCAGAUCUAUGUUCUAUUCAUGUCUAUGUUGAAUUAACCUUCUAGGCUUUUGUGCACAAAGAAUUAAAUUCGGUUGCACUCGCUCACAACAUAGACAUUAAACAGAUGUAAACCUCGAAAUGAUAGAAAACAGUUUUGUAUUUUUUAAAAAGUAAAAAUAAGAAACAUAGGUGCAUUUUAGCACAUUAGAAUAUUAAUGAAAAAAUCAUUUAUUUUGAAAUGUGAACGUUAUAUAUCCAUAGAUUACACAUAAACAGACAUAUUUCACAUAUUAGUUAUGUAAAUGUUGAUCAAUCUUAGUCUACCUAAGAUGUAGCAAAAUCCCCAAAUCAGUUUUUUUUUUUUUUUUCUCUUUUACCCGUUAACUUAAUCUGAAUAUGGAAUCAGGAGUGUUGCUGUAACACACGAUGGAUCAGAAGGCUGUGAAAUAAAAUAUUUAAAUUAUAAGAGCGGAA